Linepithema humile (Argentine ant) is the source of this 1069-nucleotide non-coding RNA. Lineage: Eukaryota; Metazoa; Arthropoda; Insecta; Hymenoptera; Formicidae. The record is from RefSeq and is a predicted model, not a curated record.
CGUCGUCGUCGUCGUCGUCGUCGUCGCCGAGCGCGCGAAUCAGCAGUGGUUUCGCUUAGUGGUUCGGUCGUUUCGCGAUACGUUACUGGCCCGUCUGUGCGCGAAAGAACGAAGAGAGAAAGCCUCGGGUGUGCGUGUGAGGGCAGUGAUCUCUCUCGGAGAGCGGCGACCUGACGGUACGAACGAGCCGACGGUGAGGAUAUAUAUGCGUCGACGUUGCUCUCUCUUUCACCUAACCUACCAGCGCAAAACGAUUCUGCGGAUCGACGGACGAAUUCUCCGCGGUUGGAUGUAACUCGCUUCGUUGUCCCAUUCGAGGAUCCGAGGAUCGUGAUUAAACAAGAUUGUGGCGGAAUAUUAUCAGCGUACUCGAUCAUAUUUAAGGUUAAAGAAAUCGGUGCAGUGAUAGAGCAGAGGAAUGCGGAGCGAGCGAACAGUCUCCUUUAGGCCUAACGAGAUCGUAAACCGCGGUUUUCAUUUUGGGCGGAGCCUUCUGCUGCAACCGUUGGAGAAUUUUUCCAGCGUUUCAAUGGGCCGACUUACCUGUGAGAGGAAGAGAGAGAGAGAAUGCAUUUCAAAUCGACCGUCGUAUCGUGUAUCAAACGCAACCAUGGCUUACACAUUUGCCGAGUUUUUCGCGUCUUCAGUUUCGGCUUUACAUCCGUCUACAUUACGCGGUGCAGAUGCAUCCGCACGCGUUCACCUAACAGUGCGGGCAUAUCUGUGGAACCAGCCGAACCACGACCCUUUCCCCCUUUGGAAGUUUUUCAUCGUCGGUCCUUCAUUGGUCGGGACCCAAAUGAGAAUUUUUCCGACGCAGUCGUUUGGCCCUGCCCCCUUCACCGUGCGUUUCCUUCCCAAAUGGCGGCACGGUGCAUUGCAUUUCGACGAUGCAACAAGCAUUUUUAUUUAUCCUUGAACUGCUCUUUAAAUUUAUGCUGUCUGUUCGUUUCCAAUGUAUACAUAAUACCUCGAGGUGCAGUUCUACUCCAAAGAGAAACAUCAAAUAUCUUUUAAAUGAGAAUUAACAAAAAUAAUGUUAUUUUAAGAAAUGGAAAUGGUGCAUAUA